UCCCAGCAGAAGUGCAUCAUGAUGUUUGCCCUGGUGUGCUGCUUUGCCAUUCUGGUUGCACUGAUCUUUUCAGCCGUGGACAUCAUGGGAGAGGAUGAGGAUGGACUCUCAGAAAAAAAUUGCCAAAAUAAAUGUUGGUAGGAGAAUUGCCCUGGUGGAAAAUAUUCCUGAAGGCCUUAACUAUUCAGAAAAUGCACCAUUUCACUUAUCACUUUUCCAAGGCUGGAUGAAUUUACUCAACAUGGCCAAAAAGUCUGUUGACAUAGUGUCUUCCCAUUGGGAUCUCAACCACACUCAUCCGUCAGCAUGUCAGGGUCAACGUCUUUUUGAAAAGUUGCUCCAACUGACUUCGCAAAAUAUUGAGAUCAAGCUAGUGAGUGAUGUAACAGCUGAUUCAAAGGUAUUAGAAGCCUUGAAAUUAAAGG
This 425-nucleotide long non-coding RNA is filed under the name Homo sapiens (human). RNAcentral's name for it is "non-protein coding lnc-ZNF37A-2:1". The record is from RNAcentral. Lineage: Eukaryota; Metazoa; Chordata; Mammalia; Primates; Hominidae.